RNAcentral lists this ribosomal RNA (749 nucleotides) under uncultured Planctomycetota bacterium. RNAcentral describes it as "bacterial SSU rRNA". It matches the Rfam family "Bacterial small subunit ribosomal RNA", at positions 93 to 850 of the family's 1533-position model. Lineage: Bacteria; Pseudomonadati; Planctomycetota. The record is from RNAcentral.
AAGUGGCGAAAGGGGCAGUAAGGCGUAGGUAACCUACCUCGGGGAUGGGGAUAGCCUUUCUAACGAAAGGGUAAUACCCGGCGAUCUGGCGGGACGGCAUCGCCCUGCCAGGAAACGAAUCUCGCCUCGAGAGGGGCUUACGUGGUAUUAGCUUGUUGGUGAGGUAACGGCUCACCAAGGCCAAGAUGCCUAGCGGGUGUGAGAGCACGACCCGCGCCACUGGCACUGCGACACUGGCCAGACUCCUACGGGAGGCUGCAGUCGAGGAUCUUCGGCAAUGGGCGCAAGCCUGACCGAGCGACGCCGCGUGUGCGAUGAAGGCCUUCGGGUUGUAAAGCACUGUCGAGGGGGAGAAAAGCCCGCAAGGGUCUGAUCUAUCCCUGGAGGAAGCACGGGCUAAGUUCGUGCCAGCAGCCGCGGUAAGACGAACCGUGCGAACGUUGUUCGGAAUCACUGGGCUUAAAGGGCGCGUAGGCGGGCCAUCAAGUCCGUGGUGAAAUACUUCGGCUUAACCGGAGAAGUGCUGCGGAUACUGGUGGUCUUGAGUGGGGUAGGGGCAUGUGGAACUUCCGGUGGAGCGGUGAAAUGCGUAGAUAUCGGAAGGAACGCCGGUGGCGAAAGCGACGUGCUGGACCCCUUCUGACGCUGAGGCGCGAAAGCCAGGGGAGCAAACGGGAUUAGAUACCCCGGUAGUCCUGGCCCUAAACGAUGGGUACUGGAUUGUGGGUUUACAUGGACUCACAGUCGGA